This 233-nucleotide ribosomal RNA is filed under the name Euglenaformis proxima. RNAcentral's name for it is "partial large subunit ribosomal RNA". It matches the Rfam family "Bacterial large subunit ribosomal RNA", at positions 1053 to 1296 of the family's 2925-position model. The record is from RNAcentral. Lineage: Eukaryota; Euglenozoa; Euglenophyceae; Euglenales; Euglenaceae.
UAUUAACUAAGUGAUAAAGGAUGUAAAUCGACAUAGACAACCAGGAGGUUGGCCUAGAAGCAGCAAUUUCCUUUAAAAAGUGCGUAAUAGCUUACUGGUUAAGUCUUUUUGCGCCGAAAAUGAACGGGGCUAAGUUAUUUACCGAAGCUAUGAGAUUUAUCGGUAGAGGAGCGUUCUGUUUUAGUGAGAAGCAAAAAUGGAAGUUUUUGUGGACUAUUCAGAAGUGAGAAUGU